CGCUAGCUACAGGCUUAACACAUGCAAGUCGAGGGGCAGCAUUUCAGUUUGCUUGCAAACUGGAGAUGGCGACCGGCGCACGGGUGAGUAACACGUAUCCAACCUGCCGAUAACUCGGGGAUAGCCUUUCGAAAGAAAGAUUAAUACCCGAUGGCAUAAUUAGACCGCAUGGUCUUAUUAUUAAAGAAUUUCGGUUAUCGAUGGGGAUGCGUUCCAUUAGGCAGUUGGUGAGGUAACGGCUCACCAAACCUUCGAUGGAUAGGGGUUCUGAGAGGAAGGUCCCCCACAUUGGAACUGAGACACGGUCCAAACUCCUACGGGAGGCAGCAGUGAGGAAUAUUGGUCAAUGGGCGCAGGCCUGAACCAGCCAAGUAGCGUGAAGGAUGACUGCCCUAUGGGUUGUAAACUUCUUUUAUAUGGGAAUAAAGUUUUCCACGUGUGGAAUUUUGUAUGUACCAUAUGAAUAAGGAUCGGCUAACUCCGUGCCAGCAGCCGCGGUAAUACGGAGGAUCCGAGCGUUAUCCGGAUUUAUUGGGUUUAAAGGGAGCGUAGGUGGACAGUUAAGUCAGUUGUGAAAGUUUGCGGCUCAACCGUAAAAUUGCAGUUGAUACUGGCUGUCUUGAGUACAGUAGAGGUGGGCGGAAUUCGUGGUGUAGCGGUGAAAUGCUUAGAUAUCACGAAGAACUCCGAUUGCGAAGGCAGCUCACUGGACUGCAACUGACACUGAUGCUCGAAAGUGUGGGUAUCAAACAGGAUUAGAAACCCUGGUAGUCCACACAGUAAACGAUGAAUACUCGCUGUUUGCGAUAUACAGUAAGCGGCCAAGCGAAAGCAUUAAGUAUUCCACCUGGGGAGUACGCCGGCAACGGUGAAACUCAAAGGAAUUGACGGGGGCCCGCACAAGCGGAGGAACAUGUGGUUUAAUUCGAUGAUACGCGAGGAACCUUACCCGGGCUUAAAUUGCAUUUGAAUAAUCUGGAAACAGGUUAGCCGCAAGGCAAAUGUGAAGGUGCUGCAUGGUUGUCGUCAGCUCGUGCCGUGAGGUGUCGGCUUAAGUGCCAUAACGAGCGCAACCCUUAUCUUUAGUUACUAACAGGUCAUGCUGAGGACUCUAGAGAGGCUGCCGUCGUAAGAUGUGAGGAAGGUGGGGAUGACGUCAAAUCAGCACGGCCCUUACGUCCGGGGCUACACACGUGUUACAAUGGGGGGUACAGAAGGCAGCUACCUGGUGACAGGAUGCUAAUCCCAAAAGCCUCUCUCAGUUCGGAUCGAAGUCUGCAACCCGACUUCGUGAAGCUGGAUUCGCUAGUAAUCGCGCAUCAGCCAUGGCGCGGUGAAUACGUUCCCGGGCCUUGUACACACCGCCCGUCAAGCCAUGAAAGCCGGGGGUACCUGAAGUACGUAACCGCAAGGAGCGUCCUAGGGUAAAACUGGUAAUUGGGGC
RNAcentral lists this ribosomal RNA (1444 nucleotides) under uncultured organism. RNAcentral describes it as "16S ribosomal RNA". It matches the Rfam family "Bacterial small subunit ribosomal RNA". The record is from RNAcentral.